Mus musculus (house mouse) is the source of this 75-nucleotide non-coding RNA. Lineage: Eukaryota; Metazoa; Chordata; Mammalia; Rodentia; Muridae. The record is from Rfam.
GAAGAGAUGGCUCAGUGGUUAAGAGCACUGGCUGUGUGCUUCCAGAGGACCUGAGUUCAAUUCUCAGCACCUGCA